CUAACACAUGCAAGUCGAGCGAGGACUUCGGUUCUAGCGGCGGACGGGUGAGUAACGCGUGGGAACGUGCCCUUCUCUACGGAAUAGUCCCGGGAAACUGGGUUUAAUACCGUAUACGCCCUUUGCGGGAAAGAUUUAUCGGAGAAGGAUCGGCCCGCGUCUGAUUAGGUAGUUGGUGGGGUAACGGCCUACCAAGCCUACGACCAGUAGCUGGUUUUAGAGGAUGAUCAGCCACACUGGGACCGAGACACGGCCCAGACUCCUACGGGAGGCAGCAGUGGGGAAUCUUGGACAAUGGGCGCAAGCCUGAUCCAGCCAUGCCGCGUGAGUGAUGAAGGCCCUAGGGUCGUAAAGCUCUUUCACCCGUGAAGAUAAUGACGGUAGCGGGAGAAGAAACCCCGGCUAACUCCGUGCCAGCAGCCGCGGUAAUACGGAGGGGGUUAGCGUUGUUCGGAAUUACUGGGCGUAAAGCGCGCGUAGGCGGACCAUCAAGUUGGGGGUGAAAUCCCGGGGCUCAACCCCGGAACUGCCUCCAAAACUGGUGGUCUUGAGUCCGAGAGAGGUGAGUGGAAUUCCGAGUGUAGAGGUGACAUUCGUAGAUAUUCGGAGGAACACCAGUGGCGAAG
RNAcentral lists this ribosomal RNA (626 nucleotides) under uncultured organism. RNAcentral describes it as "bacterial SSU rRNA". It matches the Rfam family "Bacterial small subunit ribosomal RNA", at positions 48 to 720 of the family's 1533-position model. The record is from RNAcentral.